RNAcentral lists this ribosomal RNA (513 nucleotides) under uncultured bacterium. RNAcentral describes it as "bacterial SSU rRNA". It matches the Rfam family "Bacterial small subunit ribosomal RNA", at positions 15 to 518 of the family's 1533-position model. The record is from RNAcentral.
GAUACUGGCUCAGGAUGAACGCUAGCUACAGGCUUAACACAUGCAAGUCGAGGGGCAUCAUGUUGGUUGCUUGCAACCAAUGAUGGCGACCGGCGCACGGGUGAGUAACGCGUAUCCAACCUUCCCCUUAGUAGAGGAUAGCCCGGCGAAAGUCGGAUUAAUACUCUAUGUUCUUCAAUGCGGACAUCUAAGUUGAAGCAAAGAUUUAUCGCUAAGGGAUGGGGAUGCGUCUGAUUAGGUUGCAGGCGGGGUAACGGCCCACCUGGCCUACGAUCAGUAGGGGUUCUGAGAGGAAGGUCCCCCACACUGGUACUGAGACACGGACCAGACUCCUACGGGAGGCAGCAGUGAGGAAUAUUGGUCAAUGGGCGCGAGCCUGAACCAGCCAAGUAGCGUGCAGGACGACUGCCCUAUGGGUUGUAAACUGCUUUUAUCAGGGAAUAAAGUGAGGCACGCGUGCCUUUUGUAUGUACCUGAUGAAUAAGGACCGGCUAAUUCCGUGCCAGCCGCCGC